GGAUUUUUCCUUUUGGGAGCCCCUCUCUCUCACAGGGAGAGAGCUGUUCUCCUUUCUCUUUCUUCUUCCUAUUAAACCUCCACUCCUAAACUCACUCCUCUUGGGUGUCUAUAUCCUUAAUCUUCUUAGCGAGAGACGACAAACCCGGGGUAUUUACCCCAGACAACUACCCCGCUUCAUAUUGGGAAUCUCAGCCGGGAUCCCAAGAAAAUACUUGUCUCUUAUUUGUUGCUGACUCAAAGGUCUGAUCCCCUGCCUGGAAGCUAACCUUGGCUAGAUUCCCAGAAUUGUGUCUUCUAUUCCCACAACCAACCUUUUUCAAAGACUUCAGAAGACUGAUCAACAUUUUUGCCUAUGUUGAAUGACUCACAGAAGCACACACUAUAUAGUAUAGUGAUUUUAUGGCCUUUCUUCUAAACCCAGACUUGCUUAGUUAUGUAUUCUUUAAUGGGCCAAGAGUGCUACAACUUCCACUAUGCUCUACCUGCAGCCACAGGCUCAGAUUUCUAUCAAUAAUUAAAUUUAUUAAAUGUAAUAGCCUUUAGCAAGCACCAAGUUUAGUUAGCUAAAGCUUAAAGAAAAGAACAGCCUACACAGUAUCCACAGCCAGACUAUAGUGGAAAUAUGUGAUCCCUAGACUCAGCUUCUGGUGUCCCAGUCAUUUUAUGCUAAGGAAUGAGGUUGAAUAUGUGCAGACAACCUCAGCUCAGGGAAGCCAAUAAGCUCUAGGGUCCCUUUAGCCUUUAAUAACAAGAUAAUCACAUAGCCCUUCGAAUAUAUAUGACUGGGAGUCCAUGACCGGCUUCCUUCUACAAAUGCAGUUGUGUGUCAUCAAAGCUGGUUUUUCCUUAUUUAAUAGACAAUGUUGACAGUG
Molecule: long non-coding RNA, 874 nt
Filed under: Pongo abelii (Sumatran orangutan)
Lineage: Eukaryota; Metazoa; Chordata; Mammalia; Primates; Hominidae
Description: lincRNA
Source: RNAcentral